This 483-nucleotide ribosomal RNA is filed under the name uncultured bacterium. RNAcentral describes it as "partial 16S ribosomal RNA". It matches the Rfam family "Bacterial small subunit ribosomal RNA", at positions 28 to 506 of the family's 1533-position model. The record is from RNAcentral.
AUUGAACGCUGGCGGCAUGCUUUACACAUGCAAGUCGAACGGCAGCGCGGGCUUCGGCCUGGCGGCGAGUGGCGAACGGGUGAGUAAUGCCUCUGAACGCGCCCAGUAGUGGGGGAUAGCCCGGCGAAGGCCGGAUUAAUCCCGCAUACGACCUGUGGGUGAAAGCGGGGGACCGAACGGCCUCGCGCUAUUGGAGCGGCCGAUGUCGGAAUAGCUAGUUGGUUGGGUAAAGGCUUACCAAGGCGACGAUCCGUAGCUGGUCUGAGAGGACGACCCGUCGCAGGGGUGAGGAGAUGAGGACCAGACUCCGAAGGGAGGCAGCAGUGGGGAAUUUUGGAGAAGGGGGGCAACCCAGUUCCAGCCAUGGCGCGUGCGGGAAGAAGGCCUUCGGGUUGUAAACCGCUUUUGUUCGGGAAGAAAACCUCUGGGCUAAUACCCCGGGGGGAUGAAGGUACCGGAAGAAUAAGCACCGGCUAACUACGU